GUUAACGAUAUUUAUGUUAUAUAGCACGUGCAAUAGGAGUGACUCACACAAGCCAGGCGCGCCGGCCGUGUCGUUCCACUCGUAAACAACAGCUGCAACAGAAGUGACUCAUAAGCCAGCUGCGCCGGCUAGUAUAAAAAGGCGGAACGUGCCUUGAAAUGAACAUUCGUUGGACUGCGCUUGCCUGGUGCACUUACUAUAUCCUCGUUACGUUGUGUGAUUCAGUGACUGUUGUACGUACUGGUUAAAGUUGGACAAGUGUUAAAGUGAAUUGUUAAGAUAACAUAUUGUUGAUUAAAUCAGGAAUCAAAUAGUGACAUCGUUUUACCUGGUGUUCAACAAGAUAAUGUCUACCCUCAAGCUUACAUGUACAUGAAUAAACGAGCUCACAUCCUACCUGGUUGGUGGUGCCUACCCGAGUGGACUUACAAUACGACAAGUAAGAAACACCGUGGGUACAAACUGCUUGUGUGAGAUCGCUGACCAGGCUCGACCAGGCUCAACCGGAAAUCAUUACCAUUACCAGAUAUAAAAAUAAAGGUUGAAAGAAUAAUUCGUCUUAGCCGAGAAGACGUCCAGACAAAUAGCUCUACAGUCAUGUAUGUGUCUUUCAAGGCUCUCUCAUACAUAAUGAAAAUAGUAUAGGAUUAUUUUUCUUGUCACUGCCUUGAGUCGAUUCUUUAACGAUUAUGACACAUAAUUUGUUAAAGUUUAUUAAUAAAAUUAUUAAACUUUAUUUCUGAAUGGGAAA
This is a long non-coding RNA of Bombyx mori (domestic silkworm), 751 nucleotides long. RefSeq lists it as uncharacterized. The transcript is spliced from 3 exons. The record is from RefSeq and is a predicted model, not a curated record. NCBI's taxonomy places the organism in Eukaryota, Metazoa, Arthropoda, Insecta, Lepidoptera, Bombycidae.